UAACCUUAAAGAAAUACAGGUUAGAGGACAAAGCACAGCUCCCUCCCUAGCAAGACUCUGCUUUCUUGUGGGACCUACAGAUUGGGCUGACAGG
Molecule: small nucleolar RNA, 94 nt
Organism: Mastomys coucha (southern multimammate mouse)
Lineage: Eukaryota; Metazoa; Chordata; Mammalia; Rodentia; Muridae
Product: small nucleolar RNA SNORA49
Exons: 1
Source: RefSeq, a predicted model, not a curated record